AUGCUUGUUCUCAGAUUAGCUUUGUUAAAAUAUCCAGCUACAUUAAAUGCAGCCUCAGGAUAUAUGGUUUCCAGUUUGCAGAAAGUCCAGUGAAGUUCCUUGAUGGUCGUCUUGGUAUCCUCUUGCGGGGGGAUAUACUUGGCUGUGGCGAUAACCGAGGAGAGUUCUCUUGGGAGAUAAUACCGUCGGCAUUUGAUUAGAGAUGUUUGUUCCUGUCGGCGGGAUGCACUUAAAAUCCUGUUGGCUCUACGGACUCCGACAGCAGGGUAGGCCUCUGGAAUUAGUUAAAAUGCCCUGGGAGGUGCCGACAAAGGAUCCACUUUGGGAAAAUCGUAUUCCUGGUUGUAGUGCUGCUUCCUAAGGACUUGAAGCGAAGCUGCCAUCUCUAUUGGUGCCAUCUUCCUCAGAACAUGGGCCAGCAUCCCUGUGGAACGCUUUCGGGGGUGCAACUCAAUAUUAGGAAGUUGUUCCUAAUGUUUUGUACACUCUGUGUGUGUUUUCUAUACCUGUUUGCUCCUCUCCCUAUAGGCUUUACAGACCCUUCCCACCCCUUGGCUGCAAACUUUCACAUUUUUCUCCAAACCAUCUCUGGAAACCUUGUUCCUCACUUUCCUCAAUUCAUCCCUAACCACUGUCUGCGUCCCAUCUGACUUCAAAAUGGCCCCUCAAGAAACCCACACAUGACUCCUAUAAUGUCAAAAACUACAGACCGGUAUCCCUUUAUUUUCUUUCCAAAAGACUUGAGCGUGCUGUCUCUGACCAACUCUCUCGAUAUUACUCUCAGAAUGAUCUUCUUGAGCCUAACCAGUCAGGCUUCAAGACAGAUCACUCAACUGAAGCUCCUCUUCUCUGUGUCACAGGGGCUAUCCGCACUGCCAAAGCUGACUCUCACUCCAUUACUUUAAAAAAAAACGUAAGACUAUACAAAUGGAAACAGGAUGCACCUGAGCUCAAUUUCGAGUCUCAAAGCAAAGUGUCUGAAUACUUAUGCAAAUAAAAAGGUAUUUGUUUUUUUUUAUAAUACUUUUAAAAAUAAAUUUGUCACU
This is a long non-coding RNA of Oncorhynchus keta (chum salmon), 1046 nucleotides long. RefSeq lists it as uncharacterized. Lineage: Eukaryota; Metazoa; Chordata; Actinopteri; Salmoniformes; Salmonidae. The transcript is spliced from 3 exons. The record is from RefSeq and is a predicted model, not a curated record.